AGUCGAGCGGAUCUCUWCGGAGAUCAGCGGCGGACGGGUGAGUAACACGUGGGCAACCUGCCUGUAAGACUGGGAUAACUCCGGGAAACCGGGGCUAAUACCGGAUAACCCUUCGGACCUCAUGGUCCGGAGCUGAAAGACGGUUAUGCUGUCACUUACAGAUGGGCCCGCGGCGCAUUAGCUAGUUGGUGAGGUAACGGCUCACCAAGGCGACGAUGCGUAGCCGACCUGAGAGGGUGAUCGGCCACACUGGGACUGAGACACGGCCCAGACUCCUACGGGAGGCAGCAGUAGGGAAUCUUCCGCAAUGGACGAAAGUCUGACGGAGCAACGCCGCGUGAGUGAAGAAGGUUUUCGGAUCGUAAAACUCUGUUGUUAGGGAAGAACAAGUACGAGAGUAACUGCUCGUACCUUGACGGUACCUAACCAGAAAGCCACGGCUAACUACGUGCCAGCAGCCGCGGUAAUACGUAGGUGGCAAGCGUUGUCCGGAAUUAUUGGGCGUAAAGCGCGCGCAGGCGGUCUUUUAAGUCUGAUGUGAAAGCCCCCGGCUCAACCGGGGAGGGUCAUUGGAAACUGGAGGACUUGAGUGCAGAAGAGGAGAGCGGAAUUCCACGUGUAGCGGUGAAAUGCGUAGAGAUGUGGAGGAACACCAGUGGCGAAGGCGGCUCUCUGGUCUGUAACUGACGCUGAGGCGCGAAAGCGUGGGGAGCGAACAGGAUUAGAUACCCUGGUAGUCCACGCCGUAAACGAUGAGUGCUAAGUGUUAGAGG
Molecule: ribosomal RNA, 773 nt
Filed under: Bacillus sp. (in: firmicutes)
Lineage: Bacteria; Bacillati; Bacillota; Bacilli; Caryophanales; Bacillaceae
Description: bacterial SSU rRNA
Rfam family: Bacterial small subunit ribosomal RNA
Source: RNAcentral